RNAcentral lists this ribosomal RNA (1282 nucleotides) under Tessaratoma papillosa. RNAcentral's name for it is "16S ribosomal RNA". The stretch from base 844 to 1204 matches the Rfam family "Archaeal large subunit ribosomal RNA", at positions 2154 to 2712 of the family's 2987-position model. The record is from RNAcentral. Lineage: Eukaryota; Metazoa; Arthropoda; Insecta; Hemiptera; Tessaratomidae.
UAUAAUUUAUUAUUAAUUAAUGUAUCUUAUUUAUAAUUUUUAUUAAUAAAAAUAAUUUUCUUUUUAGUAUUAAUUUUAUUGAAUUAAUCAUCUUGUUUUAUAGUUAAUUUUACUGUGAAGGUUAUAUUUUUUUAUAUUAUAAGUAGAAUUUUUUAUUUGUACCUUUUGUAUCAGGGUUUAUCUAUUUAUUUAACUUAUGAGUUAAUAUCCCGAAAUUAUAAGAGAUAUAAUUUUUUGCUUUUUAAUGUUUCAUAAUUAUUUGAAAAUUUAUUAUAGGGUUAUAUGCCAUUCAUUUAUAAAUAUCUGGUUCUUUAAUAAAUUAAUUUAAUUAAGGUCUAAUUAUUUAUUCAGGAGUUAAUUUUAUUAUUGCCUUGCUUUAAUUAGUCUAAUAUUUAUAGGGAUAAGCUUAUAAAUAUUUUUAUAACCAUUAUAUUUAUCAAAAUAGUUGUAGGAUUAGAAACUUCCAUCAUAAAUUUCGUUAUAGUUUAUAUUAUAAGAUAUAUUUUAUUUAUUUAUGGUUUAAAUUUAUAUUAAAGUAUUUUAUUUAAUUUAUAAUUGAAAGUAAUAAUGAUAAAAUUAGUAAUUUUUUUUAUUUAAAUUAUAGUAACUCGGCAAAUUUAAUAUUCACCUGUUUAUCAAAAACAUGUCCUGUUGGUGUUUUAUUUCAGGUCUGGCCUGCCCACUGAUGUAUAUUAAAGGGCCGCAGUAUUUUGACUGUGCGAAGGUAGCAUAAUCAUUUGUCUUUUAAUUGUAGGCUUGUAUGAAUGGUUUGAUGAGAUAUUAACUUUCUUUAUUUUAAAUAUUGAACUUAAUUUUUUAGUUAAAAAGCUAAAAUUUUUUUAUGGGACGAGAAGACCCUAUAGAAUUUUAAUAUAUUUAGUUUUUAUUAUAUUUAGGGGUUUAUUAUUUUAAAAAAUAAUUAUAUUUUUGUUGGGGCGACAGGGAAAUUUUAUUAACUUUCUUUAUUAAAUAAUAUUAUUAAUUAGUAUUUUAAUGAUCCUAUAUUAUGGAUAUCAAGAUUAAAUUACCUUAGGGAUAACAGCGUAAUUUCUAUGGAGAGUUCUUAUCGAUAUAGGAGUUUGCGACCUCGAUGUUGGAUUAAAUUAAGAUUUUGGUGUAGCAGCUAAAUUUCUAGGUCUGUUCGACCUUUAAAUAUUUACAUGAUCUGAGUUCAGACCGGCGUGAGCCAGGUUGGUUUCUAUCUUUAAAAUAGUGUUUAUUUUGUAGUACGAAAGGACCCAAUAUAAUAGAUAUUCUAUAAUUAUUGAAUAUAAUUAAUAUU